Molecule: RNA transcript, 1286 nt
Organism: Ruditapes philippinarum (Manila clam)
Lineage: Eukaryota; Metazoa; Mollusca; Bivalvia; Venerida; Veneridae
Exons: 5
Source: RefSeq, a predicted model, not a curated record
GGAAACAAUAUUUACAAUGGACCACACAUAUCCGAGGUUUGAUCCAGAAGAACGUCUGCCAAAAAUUGUGAGAGACAGUAUUGAGCACUCAUAUGUGAAGUCACCAUCAAAGCUCAAACAAACGCCAACAAAAUCCAAACGGAAACGAGAGAGCAGCACACCAACAGGCAAAACUCCAGUUCAGGUGUCUAAACGCACAUCAUUGUGUGAGGACCGUGUGGCCAGACAUUGCCCUUGGUCGAUCCAAGAAAAGGAGUUCCUUCACCAGUAUGUAAGAUGUAAUGAGCAACAUGGUACAGAUACUAUGUACUGGACAAAAUGUGCCGAGGCAAUGAAUGUCAAAUUUCCUGUGAAUCUAAGGACAGGCCGUUCCUGCAAAAAUGCAUUUAAGAGACUGGACAUCACUGAACAGAUCCCUUCCUCUUCAGGAGAAAUAGUGAAAUCAGUGGAUCAAGGAACUCAGACUGACAUAGUGCUCCCUAUAUCUACCAGUUUCAGGUCAAGUGAUCAUGAGGAAGGUGAAUGGAUAUUUUUGGAGCCAAAAAAAAAAGAACUUAAGGUAAAUAAUAUUGUAAGGUGUUUAAAUAUUUUGUUUUUAAAUAGAAAAUACUUUGUAAAUUCUUAUUGUAAUAUUUAAACUUUCUGAUAUAUCUGAAGAUAUACAUAGUAAUUCAUGCUAAGCAGCAAAAAUUAGAACAUUUUAGAUGUUAUACAUGUACACAUGAUGUUAUGAUGUGGGCUUUAAAUUGAAUGUUUGUGUGUAUAUCUUAAUUCAAAUGGCCGAAUAAGAGCCCUUGAUCAAAGCAAGAUAAUAUUGCAAAUGCAAUUAAUAUUUCGGUUGUCACUAUUAAAUGUAUGUGCCAUUAGUAAAACAAUUGUUAAGAUAAAUGCAAAAUUAUUUUUUUAAUUUUGAUUCAAUCCACUUUUCUUUCAAGUUUUUUGCACAAGGUUUUCCAAUGACUGAUUGUUGUCAAGUAUUCUGCUUGUUACAAGAAAUCAAGUUUUCCAAGACAAUCCAACUUGAUUUUUGUCUUACUCCAGAAAAAAGCUGGCAAGGGUGCAGAGUCUAUUCACAAGGCUGCUUUAAGACGUCUUCGUCAUUAUGCUGAGCUCAAGGACGGUGAAAAGGCUCAUUUGGUGGAGUUGCUUUGUAGAGGCAGUCCUCAACAAAUUGCCAGAGGAUUAAUGAGCUCGUCUCUUGCAGAGGAAUUGAAGUGCCUUGUGCUAUAUGACGUAGAAAUGGAGGCCAGAGAAUGUGCAACCAGAAGGAGUGUUUUAAAUCAAAA